Molecule: ribosomal RNA, 254 nt
Filed under: uncultured bacterium
Lineage: Bacteria
Description: partial 16S ribosomal RNA
Rfam family: Bacterial small subunit ribosomal RNA
Source: RNAcentral
UACGGAGGGUGCGAGCGUUAAUCGGAAUGACUGGGCGUAAAGGGUGCGUAGGUGGUUGAGUAAGUGUGUUGUGAAAUCCCCGGGCUUAACCUGGGAAUGGCAACACAUACUGCUUGACUUUGAGUAGUUCAGAGGCGUGUGGAAUUUCCGGUGUAGCGGUGAAAUGCGUAGAGAUCGGAAAGAACACCAGUGGCGAAGGCGGCUAUCUGGCGGCACAUUGACGCUGAGGCGCGAAAGCGUGGGGAGCAAACAGG